AUGCUAAUUCAUGUGCUUUUAAAAUCAUCUCUUACAGACAAAAAAGAAGCAGCUUUGACCAAAGACCUGAAAGAGCCAGCAAAAGCUCCUGCAGCCCAGCCAGCCUCUGCAAAAAUAGCUACACCAGCACUGCACAAAAAAGAAAAGCCGGUAGAAAGUGCAGAGCUACCAAAAAAGGAUGUGCAUGUAAAAGCACCCGGCAUUCACUGGAGUUCAUGGAAGCCCCACUGCCAGUGUCCUGCAGCCAUAGAGGUCCAUAAGCCAAAAGCUGCCAUAGAAGUUCCCAAGCCAAAAGCUGCCAUAGAGGUCCAUAAGCCGAAAGCUGCCAUAGAAAUUCCCAAGCCAAAAGGUCAGUAGUGUGUUUUUUUAUUUUAAGGUGUAUAUAUAUCUUCUGUUUUAAGGCAAAAAGCUGAAAAAAUUGGGGGCCAGGGAAAAGCCAUCCAAUAUUUAAUAGGUAUUAUUAUUUCAUUUUGUAGUCACCAUAGAAGCUCCUAAGCCAAAAGGUCAGUAGCAUUGUUUCGAUUUUAAAGUAUAAAAUACCUUCAAUUUUAAGGCUCAAAGCAGGGAAAUUUGUGGGGGAGAUCUAUGUUUCUAUCUAAUGUUUAAUAAAUAGUGUUAUUUUAUUUUGUAGCUUACACAGAUGUUUCUAAGCCAAAAGGCAAGUAACGUUGUUUCUAUUUUAAGAUAUAAAAUAUCUUCCAUUUUAAAUUAUAAGGUGGGGAAGCUUGGGGUGAGGUAUCCAUGUUUAAUAUGUAUUCUUAUUUUAUUUUGUAGGCGCUAUUGAAGCUCAUAAGCCAAAAGGUCAGUAGUACAAUUUUCAUUUUAAGGUAUAAUAUAUUUCUAUUUUAAGGUGAAAUAUGUGUUCCAUUUUAAGGCUAAAAGCAGAUAAUUCUUUUCGAGGGGGGGAGCACCUAUGUUGUCAUCCAAUGUUUAAUAAGUAUUGUUAUUUUAUUUUGUAGUCAUCAUAGAAGUUUCUAAGCCAAAAGGGCAGUAGUGUUGUUUCCAUUUUAAUUAAUUAAAAAUAUUCCAUUUUAGUUAUGAAGCGGGGAAACUUGGGAGCAGGUACCUGUGUUGCCAUCAGAUAUGUUUAAUAAGUAUUCUUAUUUUAUUUUGAAGUCACUGUAGAAGUUCACAAGCCAAAAGGUCAGUAACCAUAUUUCCUUCUUAAUCUAUAAUGAUCCUAUACUGUGUAUAAAACUGACCCAUGUGUAGGGAGAACAAAUAUGUGGAUGCCUCCAUGUGCUUUUACAAUCCAGAUAGUGCUGCAUGGAAUCUUAAACCAUUAUCUAUAUGCUAAGAUUGGGGGGAAAGAAUAUCAGACCAUAUUUUAUAUUGUGAUUUGUACUGAUCUCCUCUGGGGGAAACUUCUCCAACUAGUCAGCUCCCAACUGGCAAUUGUCAUCCAGAGGAAUUUUUCAUUGACUGAACCAAGACUAUGGAAUGACCUGGUGGAAGAAGUCUGACAGCUAAAUGAAGUGUCAGAAUUUAAAACAGAAUUAAAGACCUAUCUCUUCCGGCAAGCCUACCCAGUCAACUCUGAAUCAUGAGUUUUGGAUUUACAUUGUAUUACUGCUAUAUGCUGAUUUUGUAUCCUGUAUCUAAUGUAUCUUUUUAUAAUGAUGUGUUUUAUGUAUAUAUUUAAUUUUAUGUAUUUUAUGUUCAUAUGUUUUGACUCUGUUGUACCCUGCCUUGAGCUGUUAGAAAAGGCUGGUAACAAUUAAAUAUAUUAAGAAUUCUUAAUUUAUUUUGUAGCCACCAUAGGGGUCCAUAGACCAAAUGGUCAAUAUCAUUGUUUCCUUUUAAAGAAUAAAAUACAUUAUAUUUUAAUGUACAAAGCAGGGAAUUAUUUUGGGGAACAUAUGUUGCUAUCCAAGGUUUCAUAGAUAUUCUCAUUUUAUUUUGUAGUGGCCAUAGAGGUUGCUAAGCCAAAAGGUCAGUAACAUUAUUUGCAUUUUUAGAUAUAAAAUAUCUUCCAUUUUGAGGCACAAAACAGAGCAAUUUGUGGGAGUAGCUAUGAUGCCAUCCAAUUCUUAACAAGCAUUCUUAUUUUUUGUG
This is a long non-coding RNA of Anolis carolinensis (green anole), 2055 nucleotides long. The record is from Ensembl. NCBI's taxonomy places the organism in Eukaryota, Metazoa, Chordata, Lepidosauria, Squamata, Anolidae.